RNAcentral lists this transfer RNA (90 nucleotides) under Algimonas porphyrae. Its description in RNAcentral is "tRNA-Ser". It matches the Rfam family "tRNA". Rfam says of the family: Transfer RNA (tRNA) molecules are approximately 80 nucleotides in length. Lineage: Bacteria; Pseudomonadati; Pseudomonadota; Alphaproteobacteria; Maricaulales; Robiginitomaculaceae. RNAcentral also lists the same sequence under 4 other names. The record is from RNAcentral.
GGGCGGGUGGCAGAGUGGUUGAAUGCACCGGUCUUGAAAACCGGCAAGGGGGCAACUCCUUCGCGGGUUCGAAUCCCGCCCCGCCCGCCA